GCCGAAGUGGCGAAACUGGCAGACGCACCUGACUCAAAAUCAGGCGAGGGUUAAACCUCGUGUCGGUUCAAAUCCGACCUUCGGCA
This 86-nucleotide transfer RNA is filed under the name bacterium. RNAcentral's name for it is "tRNA-Leu". It matches the Rfam family "tRNA". Rfam says of the family: Transfer RNA (tRNA) molecules are approximately 80 nucleotides in length. Their secondary structure includes four short double-helical elements and three loops (D, anti-codon, and T loops). RNAcentral also lists the same sequence under 4 other names. The record is from RNAcentral.